Molecule: ribosomal RNA, 222 nt
Filed under: Bacillus sp. CBEL-1
Lineage: Bacteria; Bacillati; Bacillota; Bacilli; Caryophanales; Bacillaceae
Description: partial 16S ribosomal RNA
Rfam family: Bacterial small subunit ribosomal RNA
Source: RNAcentral
UCUUCGGAGAGUUUGAUCCUGGCUCAGGAUGAACGCUGGCGGCGUGCCUAAUACAUGCAAGUCGAGCGAACUGAUUAGAAGCUUGCUUCUAUGAUGUUAGCGGCGGACGGGUGAGUAACACGUGGGCAACCUGCCUGUAAGACUGGGAUAACUCCGGGAAACCGGAGCUAAUACCGGAUAACAUUUUCUCUUGCAUAAGAGAAAAUUGAAAGAUGGUUUCGG